CCUUGACAUACUAAGAACUUUCCAGAGAUGGAUUGGUGCCUUCGGGAACUUAGAUACAGGUGCUGCAUGGCUGUCGUCAGCUCGUGUCGUGAGAUGUUGGGUUAAGUCCCGNAACGAGCGCAACCUUUUCCUAUUUGCCAGCGGGUCAUGCCGGGAACUUUAAGGAUACUGCCAGUGACAAACUGGAGGAAGGCGGGGACGACGUCAAGUCAUCAUGGCCCUUACGGCCAGGGCUACACACGUGCUACAAUGGUCGGUACAAAGGGUUGCUACCUCGCGAGAGGAUGCUAAUCUCAAAAAGCCGAUCGUAGUCCGGAUCGCAGUCUGCAACUCGACUGCGUGAAGUCGGAAUCGCUAGUAAUCGCGGAUCAGAAUGCCGCGGUGAAUACGUUCCCGGGCCUUGUACACACCGCCCGUCACACCAUGGGAGUUUGUUGCACCAGAAGUAGGUAGUCUAACCGCAAGGAGGACGCUUACCACGGUGUGGCCGAUGACUGGGGUGAAGUCGUAACAAGGUAAGCGUAGAUGA
This 529-nucleotide ribosomal RNA is filed under the name uncultured bacterium. RNAcentral describes it as "bacterial SSU rRNA". It matches the Rfam family "Bacterial small subunit ribosomal RNA", at positions 979 to 1509 of the family's 1533-position model. The record is from RNAcentral.